CUUGGUCAUUUAGAGGAAGUAAAAGUCGUAACAAGGUUUCCGUAGCCUAUGAAGCCUGACACGGCGACUUGAAAAACAAUCGUGGAGUCUACAUUGAACAAAGUUCAAGUGGGCGAUGCCAAAGAAGUGCUGGGAAUCUUUAACAAGAACGCCAGCAGCCAUCGGGGCCCGUUCAUCCGGGCUGAUGGUUCACAGAUCAAGUAGUGGCAGUCAUGGGCCAGCAGUCACCGAACUGCUUGCGCUUGUGAUGAAGAUAUGACCGGUCAGUGGCUGAACAAGCCAGCUGAGAAAACGUUCCGUAGGUGAACCUGCGGAAGGAUCAUUA
Molecule: ribosomal RNA, 325 nt
Filed under: uncultured Ascomycota
Lineage: Eukaryota; Fungi; Ascomycota
Description: partial 18S ribosomal RNA
Source: RNAcentral